UACAGAGGUCUCAAGCGUUGUUCGGAUUCAUUGGGCGUAAAGGGUGCGUAGGUGGUGGGGUAAGUCGGAUGUGAAAUCCCGGGGCUCAACCCCGGAACUGCAUUCGAAACUGCCUUGCUCGAGUACUGGAGAGGAGAUUGGAAUUUACGGUGUAGCAGUGAAAUGCGUAGAUAUCGUAAGGAAGACCAGUGGCGAAGGCGGAUCUCUGGACAGCUACUGACACUGAGGCACGAAGGCCAGGGGAGCAAACGGG
This 253-nucleotide ribosomal RNA is filed under the name uncultured bacterium. RNAcentral's name for it is "partial 16S ribosomal RNA". It matches the Rfam family "Bacterial small subunit ribosomal RNA", at positions 524 to 776 of the family's 1533-position model. The record is from RNAcentral.